This 793-nucleotide ribosomal RNA is filed under the name uncultured Lysobacteraceae bacterium. RNAcentral describes it as "bacterial SSU rRNA". It matches the Rfam family "Bacterial small subunit ribosomal RNA", at positions 73 to 859 of the family's 1533-position model. The record is from RNAcentral. Lineage: Bacteria; Pseudomonadati; Pseudomonadota; Gammaproteobacteria; Lysobacterales; Lysobacteraceae.
GGGCCCGCAAGGGUGCCGACGAGUGGCGGACGGGUGAGGAAUACAUCGGAAUUUGCCCAGUCGUGGGGGAUAACGUAGGGAAACUUACGCUAAUACCGCAUACGACCGAGAGGUGAAAGCGGGGGAUCAGCAAUGACCUCGCGCGAGUGGAUGAGCCGAUGUCGGAUUAGCUAGUUGGCGGGGUAAAGGCCCACCAAGGCGACGAUCCGUAGCUGGUCUGAGAGGAUGAUCAGCCACACUGGGACUGAGACACGGCCCAGACUCCUACGGGAGGCAGCAGUGGGGAAUAUUGGACAAUGGGGGCAACCCUGAUCCAGCAAUGCCGCGUGUGUGAAGAAGGCCUUCGGGUUGUAAAGCACUUUUGUCCGGAACGAAACGUGUCGGGUGAAUAUCCCGGCAAACUGACGGUACCGGAAGAAUCAGCACCGGCUAACUUCGUGCCAGCAGCCGCGGUAAUACGAAGGGUGCAAGCGUUACUCGGAAUUACUGGGCGUAAAGCGUGCGUAGGUGGUUUGUUAAGUCCGUUGUGAAAGCCCUGGGCUCAACCUGGGAAUGGCAGUGGAUACUGGCAAGCUAGAGUGCGGUAGAGGGUAGUGGAAUUCCCGGUGUAGCAGUGAAAUGCGUAGAGAUCGGGAGGAACACCAGUGGCGAAGGCGGCUACCUGGACCAGCACUGACACUGAGGCACGAAAGCGUGGGGAGCAAACAGGAUUAGAUACCCUGGUAGUCCACGCCCUAAACGAUGCGAACUGGAGGUUGGGUGCAACUUGGCACUCAGUCUCGAAGCUAACGCG